GGUAUGUAUUUCAAGCCCCACGAUUAGCCCCGGAAAAUAAUCGUGUUUUUGAAAUAGACU
Aeribacillus pallidus is the source of this 60-nucleotide regulatory RNA element. It matches the Rfam family "Ribosomal protein L13 leader". Rfam says of the family: This family is a putative r-protein leader autoregulatory structure found in B. subtilis and other low-GC Gram-positive bacteria. It is located in the 5' untranslated regions of mRNAs encoding the L13-S9 (rplM-rpsI) ribosomal protein operon. Lineage: Bacteria; Bacillati; Bacillota; Bacilli; Caryophanales; Bacillaceae. The record is from Rfam.